RNAcentral lists this ribosomal RNA (489 nucleotides) under uncultured bacterium. RNAcentral's name for it is "bacterial SSU rRNA". It matches the Rfam family "Bacterial small subunit ribosomal RNA", at positions 28 to 526 of the family's 1533-position model. The record is from RNAcentral.
GACGAACGCUGGCGGCGUGCUUAACACAUGCAAGUCGAACGGGAUCGCUUAGUUAGUUUACUAAUUGAGCGUGAGAGUGGCGAACGGGUGAGUAACGCGUAGGUAACCAACCCUGUACUGGGGGAUAGCCCCGGGAAACCGGGAUUAAUACCGCAUAAGACUACAGCACUGCAUGGUGCAGUAGUAAAAACUUCGGUGGUACAGGACGGACCUGCGUCUUAUUAGGUAGUUGGUGAGGUAACGGCUCACCAAGCCGACGAUGAGUAGCCGACCUGAGAGGGUGAUCGGCCACAUUGGGACUGAGACACGGCCCAAACUCCUACGGGAGGCAGCAGUGGGGAAUAUUGCGCAAUGGGGGAAACCCUGACGCAGCAACGCCGCGUGAGUGAAGAAGGUUUUCGGAUCGUAAAGCUCUGUCUUUGGGGAAGAUAAUGACGGUACCCAAGGAGGAAGCCCCGGCUAACUACGUGCCAGCCGCCGCCGUAAAAC